Mauremys reevesii (Reeves's turtle) is the source of this 1620-nucleotide long non-coding RNA. RefSeq lists it as uncharacterized. The transcript has 2 exons. The record is from RefSeq and is a predicted model, not a curated record. NCBI's taxonomy places the organism in Eukaryota, Metazoa, Chordata, Testudines, Geoemydidae.
GUUGAAGCGGAGGACAGUUUGGAGAAGUGCUGUGGUGGGCUAAGAAGUCCUAGACCCUAGGAUUCAUAGGUCACAGAGCUUUCUGCAGUUCUCCAGCUGUCAUCUCCAAUCUCAUCACUUAUGAGAAAUUCAUUCAGCUUCUGUACGCUUUAAAAAAAAAAAGACAAUGAGUGAAUGCCAGAUUUCCAUGGGUAAGCUUGUAAUGAUCUGUGCUCCAAUCACCGGAUCAGAAUACUCAAACUUCAUGAUUGCAUGGACUACCUCCACUCCCUUUUGGAUUGCAUAGCAUCCUUGUGGCAAUUAUCUGCAUGGAAAAAAGAACAGUAUGAAAGGAGUUAAUGCAUUUUCAAACUUUAUUGUAUUGCAAUAAGAACAACUGGAAAUGAGGAGAAGAGCUGACACCAUGUGACUAACCAGCUCUCUGCAAUCCACCAGCAAGAGCUCUGUGGCUUGCAGAACACAUGCUAUUCUUGCUAUGUUAUUCUUUUAAAAAAAUAAUCUGCACAGUUACUCAUUAACCUUUUGGGGCUGCCUCAGUCCUCACUUCACCCCAGGGGCAUGUAGCAAAGGGGAAAGCCCAACCAACUAGCGAGAGAAGCGUGACAAUGACAAGCCCUUUACAGUAUAUCCAAAUCCAGAGUUUAUCACCACACAGUGUGACAGGAACCUCUUCAACAGGCAGUGGGAGGAAUCUGAGCCAACUCCAUAAGGAACGGACACACUAAUCAAUGUAACUCUUAUUAUGUGAAUGCACUAAAGAACAUGCAAUGACAUUGACCUACUGCCUUAGAAGGCAUGGGUCAAACAUUUAUUUCAGCCACAGGCAAAAACUCUUCUGCCACCAGAGCUAUGCUAAUUUUUAAAGUGAAAUAACUGGUCUGGCCAAAGUCUAAGAACUUAUUCAUAUCAGGGACAAGCACUUGAUCCUAUCAAUUUAUAUGAUUGAUGAUGGGGGGCAUGAAGUGGCCAAGCACACAUUCCUCAUGCCUCUGCACUUGAGAGUUUCUAGGUUCAUGGGAGAAAGAUGAUAGGAAAUAAAUUUUCCAAUGGGUGAGGUUUGUUUUGGCAAAUAGGGUCUUUCAAUAAUGUCCUUUGGGGUGGCUAAGGAUAGUAAGUGAAACACACACACCACGGGGAUAUUAGGAGAGCACUAAACAUAGCACAGAGGGAGGAGGAGUGAUGGGGAGGCUAAAGUGAUUUAUAAAGAGGCAUGAGAUUUUCCAUGAGUCUGAAAUCAUUUUAAACCCAGAAAAAAUCUCUGAUGUGUCCCUGUUGCCCCUUCAACAAAACACUGAUUAUUUAAUUCGUUAGUGAAUGGGGAGGGAGGACUCAGAAGACUAAUGUCCUGGGGUUUGUUGUUUGUUGUUAUUGUUAUCCACCAAACAGAGGCAGCAGCAACAAUACAAUAUUUUGCCAGAGUCCCUCAACCUGGACUUGGAGGGACUAUGUCUGAGGGUGGGAAGUUUAGCUCAGUUUUCAGAUCCUGUCAGUGCAUGGCAUCUCUGUCAGUGAGGGUGUCAAUUUGUGCCAGCUGUGGUGGUAGUUUUGUGAUACAUACACCUGUGUAACUACACUGAGACAGCAAUUCCUUUCACAUAGGCCACUGCAGAAUCAACAGAG